This 497-nucleotide ribosomal RNA is filed under the name uncultured bacterium. Its description in RNAcentral is "partial 16S ribosomal RNA". It matches the Rfam family "Bacterial small subunit ribosomal RNA", at positions 28 to 507 of the family's 1533-position model. The record is from RNAcentral.
GAUGAACGCUGGCGGCGUGCCUAAUACAUGCAAGUCGAGCGAACGGACGAGAAGCUUGCUUCUCUGAUGUUAGCGGCGGACGGGUGAGUAACACGUGGAUAACCUACCUAUAAGACUGGGAUAACUUCGGGAAACAGGAGCCAAUACCGGAUAAUAUUUUGAACCGCAUGGUUCAAAAGUGAAAGACGGUUUUGCUGUCACUUAGAGAUGGAUCCGCGCUGCAUUAGCUAGUUGGUAAGGUAACGGCUUACCAAGGCAACGAUGCAUAGCCGACCUGAGAGGGUGAUCGGCCACACUGGAACUGAGACACGGUCCAGACUCCUACGGGAGGCAGCAGUGGGGAAUCUUCCGCAAUGGGCGAAAGCCUGACGGAGCAACGCCGCGUGAGUGAUGAAGGUCUUCGGAUCGUAAAACUCUGUUAUUAGGGAAGAACAUAUGUGUAAGUAACUGUGCACAUCUUGACGGUACCUAAUCAGAAAGCCCCGGCUAACUACGUG